This 66-nucleotide transfer RNA is filed under the name Polylabris halichoeres. Its description in RNAcentral is "tRNA-Trp". Lineage: Eukaryota; Metazoa; Platyhelminthes; Monogenea; Mazocraeidea; Microcotylidae. The record is from RNAcentral.
AGGACUCUAAGUUAAAAAAGACUAUAUGUUUUCAAAACAUGAAGUAACUUUUAUUGUUGUGUCUUG